This 90-nucleotide transfer RNA is filed under the name TM7 phylum sp. oral taxon 346. RNAcentral describes it as "tRNA-Ser". It matches the Rfam family "tRNA". From Rfam's summary of the family: Transfer RNA (tRNA) molecules are approximately 80 nucleotides in length. Their secondary structure includes four short double-helical elements and three loops (D, anti-codon, and T loops). Lineage: Bacteria; Candidatus Saccharimonadota. RNAcentral also lists the same sequence under 4 other names. The record is from RNAcentral.
GGAAGGGUGCAGGAGUGGUUGAUCUGGUCGCUCUCGAAAAGCGAUAAGACCGCAAGGUCUUCGAGGGUUCGAAUCCCUCCUCUUCCGCCA